AAAGAUAUAGCAUAUUCUUCUGAAUAUACUUUAUUAACCCAUUCCGAGUACCUUACCCGUUGCUUCCGCGAGGCUGUCCUCACGGCCCUCUGAAGAUUUAUCUUUGGGGAGUCCUUGCGGAAGGUAUACAAUAAGCUCUUGCAUUACCAUGUCAUCUGUCUGAAUCUGCUUAAAACAAAUAUUA
This 184-nucleotide unclassified non-coding RNA is filed under the name soil metagenome. RNAcentral describes it as "partial internal transcribed spacer 1". The record is from RNAcentral.